RNAcentral lists this ribosomal RNA (722 nucleotides) under uncultured Fusobacterium sp. Its description in RNAcentral is "bacterial SSU rRNA". It matches the Rfam family "Bacterial small subunit ribosomal RNA", at positions 28 to 776 of the family's 1533-position model. Lineage: Bacteria; Fusobacteriati; Fusobacteriota; Fusobacteriia; Fusobacteriales; Fusobacteriaceae. The record is from RNAcentral.
GAUGAACGCUGACAGAAUGCUUAACACAUGCAAGUCAACUUGAACUUCGGUUUGGGUGGCGGACGGGUGAGUAACGCGUAAAGAACUUGCCUCACAGAUAGGGACAACAUUUGGAAACGAAUGCUAAUACCUGAUAUUAUGAUUUUAGGGCAUCCUAGGAUUAUGAAAGCUAUAUGCGCUGUGAGAGAGCUUUGCGUCCCAUUAGCUAGUUGGAGAGGUAACGGCUCACCAAGGCGAUGAUGGGUAGCCGGCCUGAGAGGGUGAUCGGCCACAAGGGGACUGAGACACGGCCCUUACUCCUACGGGAGGCAGCAGUGGGGAAUAUUGGACAAUGGACCAAGAGUCUGAUCCAGCAAUUCUGUGUGCACGAUGAAGUUUUUCGGAAUGUAAAGUGCUUUCAGUUGGGAAGAAAAAAAUGACGGUACCAACAGAAGAAGUGACGGCUAAAUACGUGCCAGCAGCCGCGGUAAUACGUAUGUCACAAGCGUUAUCCGGAUUUAUUGGGCGUAAAGCGCGUCUAGGUAGUUAUGUAAGUCUGAUGUGAAAAUGCAGGGCUCAACUCUGUAUUGCGUUGGAAACUGUGUAACUAGAGUACUGGAGAGGUAAGCGGAACUACAAGUGUAGAGGUGAAAUUCGUAGAUAUUUGUAGGAAUGCCGAUGGGGAAGCCAGCUUACUGGACAGAUACUGACGCUGAAGCGCGAAAGCGUGGGUAGCAAACAGG